CCACCAAGGCGAUGAUGGGUAGCCGGCCUGAGAGGGUGGCCGGUCACACUGGGACUGAGACACUGCCCAGACUCCUACGGGAGGCUGCAGUCGAGAAUCUUCCGCAAUGGGCGAAAGCCUGACGGAGCGACGCCGCGUGGAGGAUGAAGGCCUUCGGGUCGUAAACUCCUGUCAGUCCGGAAGAAGAUCUGUCCCUUAAGCGGGAUAGAUUGACGGUACGGGCAGAGGAAGCUCCGGCUAACUCCGUGCCAGCAGCCGCGGUAAUACGGAGGGAGCGAGCGUUGUUCGGAAUUAUUGGGCGUAAAGGGCAUGUAGGCGGCUUUGUAAGUCGGGUGUGAAAUCCCACUCCUCAAUAGUGGAAUGGCAUUCGAAACUGCAAGGCUUGAGUUCGGGGGAAGAGAGCGGAAUUCUCGGUGUAGCGGUGAAAUGCGUAGAUAUCGAGAAGAACACCGGUGGCGUAGGCGGCUUUCUAUUCCGAAACUGACGCUGAGAUGCGAAAGCCAGGGGAGCGAACGGGAUUAGAUACCCCGGUAGUCCUGGCCAUAAACGAUGUGCACCUGGUGUUGGGCCGCGAGGUUCAGUGCCGAAGCUAACGCAUUAAGUGCACCGCCUGGGGAGUACGACCGCAAGGUUGAAACUCAAAUGAAUUGACGG
Molecule: ribosomal RNA, 654 nt
Filed under: uncultured bacterium
Lineage: Bacteria
Description: bacterial SSU rRNA
Rfam family: Bacterial small subunit ribosomal RNA
Source: RNAcentral